Molecule: ribosomal RNA, 546 nt
Filed under: uncultured Bacteroidota bacterium
Lineage: Bacteria; Pseudomonadati; Bacteroidota
Description: bacterial SSU rRNA
Rfam family: Bacterial small subunit ribosomal RNA
Source: RNAcentral
AUUGCUUGCAAUCCGCUGACGACCGGCGCACGGGUGCGUAACGCGUAUGCAACCUACCUUCUACAGGGGGAUAGUCAAUAGAAAUGUUGAAUAAUACCCCAUACGAUCUUUGAAUAGCACUAUUUAAAGAAGAAAGCUCCGGCGGUAGAAGAUGGGCAUGCGUCCUAUUAGUUAGUUGGUAAGGUAACGGCUUACCAAGACUUCGAUAGGUAGGGGUCCUGAGAGGGAGACCCCCCACACUGGUACUGAGACACGGACCAGACUCCUACGGGAGGCAGCAGUGAGGAAUAUUGGACAAUGGAGGCAACUCUGAUCCAGCCAUGCCGCGUGCAGGAAGACUGCCCUAUGGGUUGUAAACUGCUUUUAUACAGGAAGAAAUAUACCUACGUGUAGGUAUUUGACGGUACUGUACGAAUAAGGAUCGGCUAACUCCGUGCCAGCAGCCGCGGUAAUACGGAGGAUCCAAGCGUUAUCCGGAAUCAUUGGGUUUAAAGGGUCCGUAGGCGGUCUUUUAAGUCAGAGGUGAAAUCCUACAGCUCAACUGUA